CAACAGGGAUUGCCUCAGUAACGGCGAGUGAAGCGGCAACAGCUCAAAUUUGAAAUCNNNNCUCGCGGCCCGAGUUGUAAUUUGUAGAGGAUGCUUCGAGCAUGGUCUGGCCUAAGUUCCUUGGAACAGGACGUCGUAGAGGGUGAGAAUCACGUAUGCGNCCGGGUGCCUACGCUCAUGUGAAGCUCCUUCGACGAGUCGAGUUGUUUGGGAAUGCAGCUCAAAAUGGGUGGUAAAUUUCAUCUAAAGCUAAAUAUUGGCCAGAGACCGAUAGCGCACAAGUAGAGUGAUCGAAAGAUGAAAAGCACUUCGGAAAGAGAGUUAAACAGUACGUGAAAUUGUUGAAAGGGAAGCGCUUGCAACCAGACUUGCGCGCGGCCGAUCAUCCGGUGUUCUCACCGGUGCACUCGGUCGUGCUCAGGCCAGCAUCGGUUUCGGUGGUUGGAUAGAGGCCCUAGGAAUGUAGCUUCUCUCGGGGAGUGUUAUAGCCUGGGGUGCAAUGCAGCCUACCGGGACCGAGGACCGCGCUUCGGCUAGGAUGCUGGCGUAAUNGUUGUAAGCGACC
RNAcentral lists this ribosomal RNA (565 nucleotides) under uncultured fungus. Its description in RNAcentral is "eukaryotic LSU rRNA". It matches the Rfam family "Eukaryotic large subunit ribosomal RNA", at positions 66 to 649 of the family's 3401-position model. The record is from RNAcentral. Lineage: Eukaryota; Fungi.